UACAGAGGGGGCAAGCGUUGUUCGGAAUUACUGGGCGUAAAGGGCGCGUAGGCGGCCAUCUAAGUCAGACGUGAAAUCCCCCGGCUUAACCUGGGAACUGCGUCUGAUACUGGAAGGCUUGAGUAUGGGAGAGGGAUGUAGAAUUCCAGGUGUAGCGGUGAAGUGCGUAGAUAUCUGGAGGAAUACCGGUGGCGAAGGCGGCAUCCUGGACCAUUACUGACGCUGAGGCGCGAAAGCUAGGGGAGCAAACGGG
RNAcentral lists this ribosomal RNA (253 nucleotides) under uncultured bacterium. RNAcentral describes it as "partial 16S ribosomal RNA". It matches the Rfam family "Bacterial small subunit ribosomal RNA", at positions 524 to 776 of the family's 1533-position model. The record is from RNAcentral.